UGCGGGGUGGAGCAGUCUGGUAGCUCGUCGGGCUCAUAACCCGAAGGUCGUUGGUUCAAAUCCGGCCCCCGCAACCA
RNAcentral lists this transfer RNA (77 nucleotides) under Acinetobacter baumannii. RNAcentral describes it as "tRNA-Met". It matches the Rfam family "tRNA". From Rfam's summary of the family: Transfer RNA (tRNA) molecules are approximately 80 nucleotides in length. Their secondary structure includes four short double-helical elements and three loops (D, anti-codon, and T loops). RNAcentral also lists the same sequence under 26 other names. Lineage: Bacteria; Pseudomonadati; Pseudomonadota; Gammaproteobacteria; Moraxellales; Moraxellaceae. The record is from RNAcentral.